UGACUAUGCGUUCUAUUAGCUAGAUGGUGUGGUAACGGCUCACCUAGACUGCGAUAGAUAGGGGCCCUGAGAGGGGGAUCCCCCACACUGGUACUGAGACACGGACCAGACUCCUACGGGAGGCAGCAGUGAGGAAUAUUGGACAAUGGAGGCAACUCUGAUCCAGCCAUGCCGCGUGCAGGAUGACUGCCCUAUGGGUUGUAAACUGCUUUUAUACAGGAAGAAACACUUUCUCGUGAGAAAGCUUGACGGUACUGUAAGAAUAAGGAUCGGCUAACUCCGUGCCAGCAGCCGCGGUAAUACGGAGGAUCCAAGCGUUAUCCGGAAUCAUUGGGUUUAAAGGGUCCGUAGGUGGAUAAUUAAGUCAGAGGUGAAAUCCUGCAGCUUAACUGUAGAAUUGCCUUUGAUACUGGUUAUCUUGAGUUAUUAUGAAGUGAUUAGAAUGUGUAGUGUAGCGGUGAAAUGCAUAGAUAUUACACAGAAUACCAAUUGCGAAGGCAGAUCACUAAUAAUCAACUGACACUGAUGGACGAAAGCGUGGGUAGCGAACAGGAUUAGAUACCCUGGUAGUCCACGCCGUAAACGAUGGUCACUAGCUGUUUGGACUUCGGUCUGAGUGGCUAAGCGAAAGUGAUAAGUGACCCACCUGGGGAGUACGUUCGCAAGAAUGAAACUCAAAGGAAUUGACGGGGGCCCGCACAAGCGGUGGAGCAUGUGGUUUAAUUCGAUGAUACGCGAGGAACCUUACCAGGGCUUAAAUGUUUGGUGACAGAUCUAGAAAUAGAUUUUUCUUCGGACACUAAACAAGGUGCUGCAUGGUUGUCGUCAGCUCGUGCCGUGAGGUGUCAGGUUAAGUCCUAUAACGAGCGCAACCCCUGUUGUUAGUUGCCAGCGAGUAAUGU
Molecule: ribosomal RNA, 902 nt
Filed under: metagenome
Description: bacterial SSU rRNA
Rfam family: Bacterial small subunit ribosomal RNA
Source: RNAcentral